GCCUCUGGGGUUUAGUGGUAGCACGCAUCCCCGUUAUGGAUGGAACGCGGUUUCAACUCCCGUCCGAGGCU
Non-coding RNA from Parelaphostrongylus tenuis, 71 nucleotides. Lineage: Eukaryota; Metazoa; Nematoda; Chromadorea; Rhabditida; Metastrongylidae. The record is from the annotation of a GenBank genome assembly.